This 392-nucleotide ribosomal RNA is filed under the name uncultured eukaryote. RNAcentral describes it as "partial 18S ribosomal RNA". It matches the Rfam family "Eukaryotic small subunit ribosomal RNA", at positions 592 to 976 of the family's 1831-position model. The record is from RNAcentral.
CAAUAGCGUAUACUAAAGUUGUUGCGAUUAAAAAGCUCGUAGUUGGAUCUCAGGCAUGGGCGCACGGUCCGCCUCGCGGCGGUCACUGUGUGUUUUGUUUACCAUCCUACGCUUCCCGGUUAUCAGCCCAUGGUGCUCUUCACUGAGCGUUUUGGGUGGCCGGAACGUUUACUUUGAAGAAAUUAGAGUGUUCAAAGCAGGCACGUCGCCUGAAUAAUGGUGCAUGGAAUAAUGGAAUAGGACCUCGGUUCUAUUUUGCUGGUUUUCGGAACACGAGGUAAUGAUUAAGAGGGACAGACGGGGGCAUCCGUAUUGCGGUGUUAGAGGUGAAAUUCUUGGAUCAUCGCAAGACGAACAACUGCGAAAGCAUUUGCCAAGCAUGUUUUCAUUAG